This is a long non-coding RNA of Leopardus geoffroyi (Geoffroy's cat), 912 nucleotides long. RefSeq lists it as uncharacterized. Lineage: Eukaryota; Metazoa; Chordata; Mammalia; Carnivora; Felidae. The transcript is spliced from 2 exons. The record is from RefSeq and is a predicted model, not a curated record.
UUUAAGAUGUCUCUUCAUCCUCCCCAGAAUGGCAGCUCAGGGAAGCCAUUUUCCUUUCAAAUCACUGUUGUAUACAAAGGUUGUGCCCUUUAUGAGCAGAGCUUUACCAGUCUGUUUUAUACGCUUACACUCUUUCAAAUUCUUCAAAGAACGGUUUUAAUAUUGCCAUUUUUCUCUUUUUAUCUACUUGGAAAUCAUACAAUAAAUCCUUCUAGUAUGUUUAUCUCAGCAAAUUUCAGUGUGAGUGACAGACUCAGAAAUUUUCCAGAAAUAAUUACAAUGCUGCAAAAAGAAAAAAAUCCAACAUUUCCAAUCUCGUAUAUAUAUUUUCCUGAUAAGCUGGAGUUUUUGUUCUUUCUUUUUUUUUUUUUUUUAGAAAAUAAUUCCCUUUUACCCUCUCCCAAUUCUCAUCACCACAGAGGUAAAGAACAAUAUUUCUAAUCACGAAUUAGAAGCCUCUGUGAACCUAAGAGAAAACUUGCCUCAGAAUGAAAGAUAUUGACUAAUUUUAUUACCUGUAAUUAAUGUACAUUUUAAAGUUUAAAGGACAUUUUAUAUGUUUAGUGUUAAUCUUUUCAUCUGAAAACUCAGAAUUGAAUAAAUCUCUAGCUUUCUAAAUAGUUUUAUGAUAAUUACUGAUAUGGAGAAUAAAUUUAAAUCUCUAGAAAAGGAAUUCUUAAUAUGUGUCCUAUGGGACUAUACAUGCAGGUGGGCUUUAGGGGCCAUAAACCUAACUCAGAAACAACCAAGAAUCACUCCUCUGGUGGUAUGCCAACCGAAGGAAUGGAACUCUUACUCUCUGCUCUGUAUCUACCCUCCACAUCGUCUUCCUUCCAGUCCCUAUCUACUGUCUUUACAAGUUAUUUAUGGUCAACUUGACCAGCUGACAUGCUUCAUGAGGUCCUACCAAGC